CACGUAGGGUGCGAGCGUUGUCCGGAAUUAUUGGGCGUAAAGAGCUCGUAGGCGGUGUGUCGCGUCGGCCGUGAAAACCUGCAGCUUAACUGUGGGCUUGCGGUCGAUACGGGCAUCACUGGAGUUCGGCAGGGGAGACUGGAAUUCCUGGUGUAGCGGUGAAAUGCGCAGAUAUCUGGAGGAACACCGGUGGCGAAGGCGGCAUCCUGGACCGACACUGACGCUGAGGCGCGAAAGCAUGGGGAGCGAACAGG
This 254-nucleotide ribosomal RNA is filed under the name uncultured bacterium. RNAcentral describes it as "partial 16S ribosomal RNA". It matches the Rfam family "Bacterial small subunit ribosomal RNA", at positions 524 to 776 of the family's 1533-position model. The record is from RNAcentral.